GAAAAAUUAGUUAAAUAUGUAUAACAUUAAAUUGUCAAUUUAAAGUUAAUAAUAUAAAUUUAUUAUUUUUCU
This 72-nucleotide transfer RNA is filed under the name Bombus pratorum. RNAcentral's name for it is "tRNA-Asp". It matches the Rfam family "tRNA". Rfam says of the family: Transfer RNA (tRNA) molecules are approximately 80 nucleotides in length. The record is from RNAcentral. Lineage: Eukaryota; Metazoa; Arthropoda; Insecta; Hymenoptera; Apidae.